This 254-nucleotide ribosomal RNA is filed under the name uncultured bacterium. Its description in RNAcentral is "partial 16S ribosomal RNA". It matches the Rfam family "Bacterial small subunit ribosomal RNA", at positions 524 to 777 of the family's 1533-position model. The record is from RNAcentral.
UACGAAGGGGGCUAGCGUUGCUCGGAAUUACUGGGCGUAAAGCGCACGUAGGCGGAUCUUUAAGUCAGGGGUGAAAUCCUGGAGCUCAACUCCAGAACUGCCUCUGAUACUGGGGAUCUUGAGUCCGGAAGAGGUAAGUGGAACUGCGAGUGUAGAGGUGAAAUUCGUAGAUAUUCGCAAGAACACCAGUGGCGAAGGCGGCUCACUGGCCCGGUACUGACGCUGAGGUGCGAAAGCGUGGGGAGCAAACAGGG